AUGAGAAUGUGACUCAUUUCUAUUGAUUGCAGAGAAUUGCUGCUGCAUCUGGCUGUGAAAAAUCCAGUUCUGCUGCUCUGGUUGAAUGCUUAAGAGGAAAAACAGAGGAAGAGAUAGAACAGAUAACUCUAAAAAUGGAUCUGACAACAUUGCGACUGUGCUCCACCUCACCUGAGAAUUGUGAACAGACUCCCUUGUUCAUCAGUUCUUGU
Molecule: non-coding RNA, 212 nt
Organism: Meleagris gallopavo (turkey)
Lineage: Eukaryota; Metazoa; Chordata; Aves; Galliformes; Phasianidae
Source: RefSeq, a predicted model, not a curated record